CCCGCAGUAGCUCAAUGGCAGAGCGCGCGCCUGUAGAGCGCGAUGUUGCUGGUUCGACUCCGGCCUGCGGGA
This 72-nucleotide transfer RNA is filed under the name Microcaldota archaeon. RNAcentral describes it as "tRNA-Tyr". It matches the Rfam family "tRNA". From Rfam's summary of the family: Transfer RNA (tRNA) molecules are approximately 80 nucleotides in length. Their secondary structure includes four short double-helical elements and three loops (D, anti-codon, and T loops). Lineage: Archaea; Nanobdellati; Microcaldota. The record is from RNAcentral.